CAGCCGCCACGGGAAUACGAAGGGGGCUAGCGUUGUUCGGAUUUACUGGGCGUAAAGGGUGCGUAGGCGGACUGAUAAGUCAGGGGUGAAAUCCCAAGGCUCAACCUUGGAACUGCCUUUGAUACUGUUAGUCUUGAGUUCGAGAGAGGUGAGUGGAACUGCGAGUGUAGAGGUGAAAUUCGUAAAUAUUCGCAAGAACACCAGUGGCGAAGGCGGCUCACUGGCUCGAAACUGACGCUGAGGCACGAAAGCGUGGGGAGCGAACAGGAUUAGAUACCCCGGUAGUCCCUGUCUCUUAUAC
Molecule: ribosomal RNA, 301 nt
Filed under: uncultured bacterium
Lineage: Bacteria
Description: partial 16S ribosomal RNA
Rfam family: Bacterial small subunit ribosomal RNA
Source: RNAcentral